UGUAUWUAGUGGUCAGAGGGGGAAAUUWUAGGAUUUAKUAAGGRCGGKGGCAAUGGGAAGGCAUUUGCCAAGGAUGUUUUCAUUAAUCAAGAACGAAAGUAGGGGGAUCGAAGACGAUCAGAUACCGUSGUAGUCUCUACCGUAAACUAUGCCGACCAGGGAUCCGGAGAGUUUGCAUGGAUGACUCCCCGGGCACCUUGUGAGAAAUCAUAAGUGUUGGGUUUUGGGGGGAGUAUGGUCGCAAGGCUGAAACUUAAAGGAAUKACGGAAAGGCCCCAAGGAUAMC
Molecule: ribosomal RNA, 286 nt
Filed under: uncultured amoeba
Lineage: Eukaryota
Description: partial 18S ribosomal RNA
Rfam family: Eukaryotic small subunit ribosomal RNA
Source: RNAcentral